CACGUAGGUGGCAAGCGUUGUCCGGAUUUAUUGGGCGUAAAGAGCUCGUAGGCGGCUCAGUAAGUCAGGUGUGAAACCUCCAGGCUCAACCUGGAGACGGCACCUGAUACUGCUGUGGCUAGAGUCCGGUAGGGGAGCGUGGAAUUCCUGGUGUAGCGGUGAAAUGCGCAGAUAUCAGGAAGAACACCAGUGGCUAAGGCGGUUCUCUAGUACGGUACUGACGCUGAGACGCGAAAGCGUGGGGAGCGAACAGG
This 254-nucleotide ribosomal RNA is filed under the name uncultured bacterium. RNAcentral describes it as "partial 16S ribosomal RNA". It matches the Rfam family "Bacterial small subunit ribosomal RNA", at positions 524 to 776 of the family's 1533-position model. The record is from RNAcentral.